RNAcentral lists this ribosomal RNA (256 nucleotides) under uncultured bacterium. Its description in RNAcentral is "partial 16S ribosomal RNA". It matches the Rfam family "Bacterial small subunit ribosomal RNA", at positions 524 to 776 of the family's 1533-position model. The record is from RNAcentral.
GACGUAGGUGGCGAACGUUAUCCAGAAUUAUUGGGCGUAAAGGGUGCGUAGGCGGCAUGAUAAGUUAUUGGCGGGGAAUCGAGGCUCAACCUCGUGGAAACUAAUAAUACUGUUUUGCUUGAGUACAGGAGAGGUUAACGGAACUCCAUGUGGAGCGGUAAAAUGUGUAGAUAUAUGGAAGAACAUCAAUAACGGCGAAGGCAGUUAACUAUUCUGUUACUGACGUUGAGGCACGAAAGCGUGGGGAGCAAAACGG